AAAAAAAGGGGUUUAAAUAGCAGCACCCAAAGUGAAACCGGAGACGUUAACUUCGAAGUUCGAGAGGGAGGUGAGGUCGAGUCGGUGAACGAGGGCCAUGGAGAUGAGGACGGGCGGCUCAACAGUGACUGUCCUCCACAAUGCCACCAUCGUGACCAUGGACGGAGAUCGCCGAGUAUUUCAGAACGGAGGGAUUGUCAUUGAGGAAGAUAGAAUCGUAGCCAUCGGUCAAUCGCCGGAGAUUUUUCAGAGGUUCUCUCACUUGGCGAACCAAAUAGUCGAUCUUCACGGCCACAUCAUACUCCCUGGAUUCAUCAACACGCAUGUUCACACCUCGCAACAGCUCGGCAGAGGGAUAGCGGAUGAUGUCGAUUUGAUGACAUGGCUUCACGAUCGCAUCUGGCCAUACGAAUCCAACAUGACUGAGGAGGAGUCUUAUAUAUCCACUUUACUCUGUGGAGUUGAGCUCAUCCACUCCGGUGUGACGUGCUUUGCUGAAGCAGGAGGGCAGCAUGUGACAGGAAUGGCUCGUGCUAUCGAAAAACUGGGUAUACGGGCGUGCUUGGCCGAGUCAAUCAUGGACUCUGGUCAGGGUUUGCCAGCUUCCUGGGGAUCGAGGACCACAGAUGAUUGCAUUCAGUCUCAGAAGGAACUAUACAAGAAGCACCAUAACACUGCAGAUGGGCGGAUAAGAAUAUGGCUUGGAGUCAGGCAAAUUAUGAAUUCGUCGGAUCGUCUGCUCCUUGAAACAAGAGAUAUGGCUAGAGAACUGAAAACAGGAAUCCAUAUGCAUGUUUCUGAGAUACCCUACGAGAAUCAGGUUGUUGUACAUACUCGAAAAGCCGAACAUGGGACAGUAACGUACUUGGAGAAGAUAGAUUUUCUACAAAGCAACUUACUGGCUGCUCAUACGGUCUGGGUUGACAAAAAUGAGGUUUCUUUUCUUUCAAAGGCUCGAGUUAAAGUGUCCCACUGCCCUGCUUCUGCCAUGAGAAUGCUUGGGUUUGCACCAAUCAGGGAGAUGCUUGAUGCUGGCAUCUGUGUUUCUUUGGGAACGGAUGGUGCACCAUCAAAUAAUAGAAUGAGCAUAGUUGAUGAGAUGUAUCUAGCUUCUCUUAUUAACAAGGGACGGGAAGUUUAUGUGAAAGGAACAACUGACCCUACAGCUCUCCCUGCUGAAACAGUUCUACAAAUGGCAACAGCCAAUGGUGCCAAAUCUGUGCUCUGGGAUGAUGAAAUUGGAUCUAUUGAGAUUGGCAAAAAGCAUUUCCAGCCUUGUAUAUUGCUUGCGAACUGAGAAUGUUGUCUCUGUGAUGUGCAAUGGCCACUGGAUAAUGAAAGAUAAGAAGAUUUUGACAGUUGAUGAGGAAGAAGUUAUUUCCAUCGCAAAGCAGGCUUCAAGGGAACUUCUGGAAAGGGCCGGUGUCCAAAUACCAAACAGAAUGAAUGUUCUCUGAUGUUUUUGUGAAUGUGUUUUACGUUCUUCUUCUUGAAGAGUAGAUAUUUAUCUUGGUAUUUCAUGUAUAAUUUCAGAUAGUCCUUAAAUUGGCAUGAGUUUGCAUGUUUGGUUGA
Molecule: RNA transcript, 1572 nt
Organism: Tripterygium wilfordii
Lineage: Eukaryota; Viridiplantae; Streptophyta; Magnoliopsida; Celastrales; Celastraceae
Gene name: 5-methylthioadenosine/S-adenosylhomocysteine deaminase-like
Exons: 9
Source: RefSeq, a predicted model, not a curated record